CUUGCAGCUUGACAAGACAAACGAGGGAGCUCAGAAAUACGCUGAGUUUCUUCACCUUUGCAAGAGGAGAUUCACAGAUUUUGAGAGCUGGCAAUUAGGAGUCAGAAAAUCUGAGGUCAAAUUUAGGAUGUGUUGGAUGAGGCAGCUACAAUGAAACUUUUAGAGAGG
This is a long non-coding RNA of Humulus lupulus (European hop), 168 nucleotides long. RefSeq lists it as uncharacterized. The transcript has 3 exons. The record is from RefSeq and is a predicted model, not a curated record. NCBI's taxonomy places the organism in Eukaryota, Viridiplantae, Streptophyta, Magnoliopsida, Rosales, Cannabaceae.